UAAACAAGUUUCCUUAUUUUUCUAAAUCACGAAUCUGGUCAUGUUUGUAACUAGAACAACACCCAUGGUCGGAAACUUUCUGAUUUAAAUUAAUUCCGCGUUUCCUUUUUCGAUGCCAAUCACGAACCUGGAUGAAUAUACGUCCAUAAUCUUACCAAACAAGCCAAAUCAGUGACAACCCACAUCCUCCAUAAAACCUCCUAAUUGUUCGUGAUUGACAGCAAAUGGAAGUUUCCAUACUUUACGAGACCUUCAAAAUGCUAUAAAUACGACAUCCUCGCAAGCCACUCUCGACACCAUCCUAUAUCUCUCAUCUCCCUGUUUCGAUAACAAUUCGCCGGAGACAACCGGAGAGGAAGCUCGCAACAUCGGAGACGUCGCCGGAACUCGAAUUCUCACCGAAGUCGUCACGUCGGAACUCACGUUAUCCUUUUGUUCGGAAUCCAACGCCGUCGGAGAAGACGACCAGAGUUUCGUCGGAGUUCAAGCUUUCGCCGGUUAAAUGGAGGUCGCCGGAGCUUCACGACGGGAACCAUGUCAAACGUCGUCUCGGUUGAUUGAUCAAGACUCAAGAAAACAAGUUAGAUACCCAUUUUAGCAAUUAAACAAUGUUUGAAUUUAUGUUCACUAUUUGAAACAAUGUAUUAUUCUUUAGUUUUAAUAAAAUGAUUUAAUUCAUAUUGUC
RNAcentral lists this long non-coding RNA (685 nucleotides) under Helianthus annuus (common sunflower). Its description in RNAcentral is "hypothetical non coding rna". The record is from RNAcentral. Lineage: Eukaryota; Viridiplantae; Streptophyta; Magnoliopsida; Asterales; Asteraceae.